AUUGAACGCUGGCGGCAGGCCUAACACAUGCAAGUCGAACGAGUGGCGGACGGGUGAGUAAUGUCUGGGAAACUGCCCGAUGGAGGGGGAUAACUACAGGAAAAGGUAGCUAAUACCGCAUACCAUCGGAUGUGCCCAGCUGGGAUUAGCUAGUAGGGGGGGUAACGGCUCACCUAGGCGACGAUCCCUAGCUGGUCUGAGAGGGUGACCAGCCCCACUGGAACUGAGACACGGUCCAGACUCCUACGGGAGGCAGCCGUGGGGAAUAUUGCACAAUGGGCGCAAGCCUGAUGCAGCCAUGCCGCGUGUAUGAAGAAGGCCUUCGGGUUGUAAAGUACUUUCAGCGAGGAGGCGUUACUCGCAGAAGAAGCACCGGCUAACUCCGUGCCAGCAGCCGCGGUAAUAC
RNAcentral lists this ribosomal RNA (406 nucleotides) under uncultured bacterium. Its description in RNAcentral is "partial 16S ribosomal RNA". It matches the Rfam family "Bacterial small subunit ribosomal RNA", at positions 30 to 526 of the family's 1533-position model. The record is from RNAcentral.